UGUCCCCCUGACUGUCCCUGGAGGGAACAGAGAUCAGGGACGCAGGGACACCUGAGUGCUCCUGGGAUAUAAAGGAUAUAGAGUGGAAAGGGAGUAAUUUGGGGGGCUGGAUGGUGAUUCUGAGAGCUGGGAAGCAGCUAUGGGUUGGUGUGGCCUCGCCGGAAGAAGGAUCCCUGCAACCUGCUGUACUGAUGCCUGCAGUUUCCAGGUGGCCUCAAUAACAGUUUGGUCCCAUGUACCCUGGGUCAAACCCACAGCCUCCAGCUACGAUGGGCGCAUUAAGCAUCCCUGAUCUCUGCCUGCCCUCUCCACACCAGAGCUCAGAGCUCCCGCCUGGGAGAUGAUGGAUUUAUUGGGCCAUGUCCCUAACAAGGAAAGGUACAUCCAGUGAAGAGACAAAAAUACACCUGCUGUCGGCCAUGCUCGCAC
Chiroxiphia lanceolata (lance-tailed manakin) is the source of this 429-nucleotide long non-coding RNA. RefSeq lists it as uncharacterized. The record is from RefSeq and is a predicted model, not a curated record. Lineage: Eukaryota; Metazoa; Chordata; Aves; Passeriformes; Pipridae. The transcript is spliced from 3 exons.